Molecule: ribosomal RNA, 253 nt
Filed under: uncultured bacterium
Lineage: Bacteria
Description: partial 16S ribosomal RNA
Rfam family: Bacterial small subunit ribosomal RNA
Source: RNAcentral
GACGGAGGGUGCAAGCGUUGUUCGGAUUGACUGGGCGUAAAGGGCGUGUAGGCGGUUGGUCAAGUCUGGUGUGAAAGCCCGGGGCUUAGCCUCGGAAGUGCAUCGGAAACUAGCCAGCUGGAGUGCGAUAGAGGAGGGUGGAAUUCCUGGUGUAGCGGUGAAAUGCGUAGAUAUCAGGAGGAACACCGGCGGCGAAGGCGGCCCUCUGGAUCGUUACUGACGCUGAGACGCGAAAGCGUGGGGAGCAAACAGG